GAUGAACGCUGGCGGCGUGCCUAAUACAUGCAAGUCGAGCGAACAGACGAGGAGCUUGCUCCUCUGACGUUAGCGGCGGACGGGUGAGUAACACGUGAAUAACCUACCUAUAAGACUGGGAUAACUUCGGGAAACCGGAGCUAAUACCGGAUAAUAUAUUGAACCGCAUGGUUCAAUAGUGAAACACGGUUUUGCUGUCACUUAUAGAUGGAUCCGCGCCGCAUUAGCUAGUUGGUAAGGUAACGGCUUACCAAGGCAACGAUGCGUAGCCGACCUGAGAGGGUGAUCGGCCACACUGGAACUGAGACACGGUCCAGACUCCUACGGGAGGCAGCAGUAGGGAAUCUUCCGCAAUGGGCGAAAGCCUGACGGAGCAACGCCGCGUGAGUGAUGAAGGUCUUCGGAUCGUAAAACUCUGUUAUUAGGGAAGAACAAAUGUGUAAGUAACUAUGCACGUCUUGACGGUACCUAAUCAGAAAGCCACGGCUAACUACGUG
Molecule: ribosomal RNA, 497 nt
Filed under: uncultured bacterium
Lineage: Bacteria
Description: partial 16S ribosomal RNA
Rfam family: Bacterial small subunit ribosomal RNA
Source: RNAcentral